Molecule: unclassified non-coding RNA, 200 nt
Filed under: soil metagenome
Description: partial contains internal transcribed spacer 2 and large subunit ribosomal RNA
Source: RNAcentral
UGUUCGAGCGUCAUUAUAACCCCUCAAGCUCAGCUUGGUGUUGGGGCCUGCCGUUUGGCAGCCCUUAAAAUCAGUGGCGGUGCAUCUGGCUCUAAGCGUAGUAAUUCUUCUCGCUAUGGAGACCCGAUGGACGCUUGCCAUCAACCCCCCAAUUUUCUAUGGUUGACCUCGGAUCAGGUAGGGAUACCCGCUGAACUUAA